Molecule: long non-coding RNA, 896 nt
Filed under: Populus trichocarpa (black cottonwood)
Lineage: Eukaryota; Viridiplantae; Streptophyta; Magnoliopsida; Malpighiales; Salicaceae
Description: long non-coding RNA (PTRI_LNC004187)
Source: RNAcentral
AGACCAUACAUCCAAACUUUUUAACAUGCCACUCUUUCUUCUACAAUCUAAUAAUUUAUCUUAAGAGAAAAAUAAUAUAUAUAUAUACAUUAUUUUGAACAAAAAAAUUGUUUGAAAUUCAAUAUCAUAUGGGACCUACGAGAUUAAGACUAGGUUUCAAUUACAUCAAUUCUCCAUAAAAAAAAAUACUAAUAAAUAUAUUCAUGAAAAAAUAUCAAUUAAUGAAGUUACAAAGGCAAACAUAAAAGAAAAAACAAAUUUGGAGGUCGAAGUGUUUCCCACAAUUGGGAUUAGAACUCACAAUAAAAAUCAAGUGGCUUUCGAUGGUAGUUGAUGAGGUUGGAGAUCCUCACGUAAGCGAUGAAGUGGCUGAUAUUAUGAGUUGUAGAGAGAUUGCAACGGUUGAGAAUUUGCAAAUCAAAUCUUCUUGAAGGGUUAUAAGAACUCUUCGAUCAUCAUCUCAAUAAAGAAAGGAGCUUCAAAGAGCUAAAGUAAGCUCUGUAUAUACGUGCGUGGUGGGUAAAGAAACCUAAAAACUGGUUAUGAAAUGUUAAAGAAGAAGUUUGGAAAAAUGCAGGGCUUGAAGGGCUCACGAGCCAUAGUAACUUGCAUGAAAAUAAAAACAAAAGGAUCAAUCACCUUGGAGGAUGAAAUGGUUAAUGGAGUAAUAUUUAAGUGAAAAGAUGCUCUAUCACAGUCUAGUUGUUUAUUGGUGGUGGGAGAACGCGUGAGGGCAUGACCUCAACUGCAAAAAGGUGCGACUGAGACCUCAUUUGGAUUCACUCACUUGGCCAUAUUUUAUUCAGGUAUCUUAUCGUUAGGAUUGGUCAUCACACUGAUCAUCCAAUAAAACUCUAUUUGAACACAAGUGAUUCUCGGACAUUACCACCUCGGAU